RNAcentral lists this ribosomal RNA (253 nucleotides) under uncultured bacterium. RNAcentral's name for it is "partial 16S ribosomal RNA". It matches the Rfam family "Bacterial small subunit ribosomal RNA", at positions 524 to 776 of the family's 1533-position model. The record is from RNAcentral.
UACGAAGGGGGCUAGCGUUGCUCGGAAUCACUGGGCGUAAAGCGCACGUAGGCGGCUUUUUAAGUCAGGGGUGAAAUCCUGGAGCUCAACUCCAGAACUGCCUUUGAUACUGAGGAUCUUGAGUUCGGGAGAGGUGAGUGGAACUGCGAGUGUAGAGGUGAAAUUCGUAGAUAUUCGCAAGAACACCAGUGGCGAAGGCGGCUCACUGGCCCAUUACUGACGCUGAGGCACGAAAGCGUGGGGAGCAAACAGG